UAUAGAACGUGUAACUUCUCUGGAUGCUCUUGCUCUGUAAAAGUAGCUGGACUUGGUGCAUUUCAUGUGUAGAGGAGUCUUGUUGAAGAAGACCUAGCUGCAAUAAGGCAUCCUUGAGGAGGGCUGCUGGAGGCACUGAGAAAAUGCCACAGGGAGAAGAAAACCUCCAAUUGAAAUUUGUAGCAAUUUGAACUGAUUGAGAAGUCUCUUGGGCAGAACUUGGGAAACGGCAUGAAUCUGGUGUGCAGACUCCACACGUCGGGGAAGAAGGAAAGCCCUACUUAUUUUUGAAGCUGGGAGUCCACUGUGCCAUGUGAAGAAGGUGCUUGCUUUCCCUUCACGCUUCCACCAGAUUGUGAGUUUCCUGAGGCCUCCUCACCCAUGCCUCCUGAACAGUCCUCAGAACUGU
Molecule: long non-coding RNA, 409 nt
Filed under: Homo sapiens (human)
Lineage: Eukaryota; Metazoa; Chordata; Mammalia; Primates; Hominidae
Description: HSALNT0093016
Source: RNAcentral